ACCGCAUAACGUCGCAAGACCAAAGAGGGGGACCUUCGGGCCUCUUGCCAUCGGAUGUGCCCAGAUGGGAUUAGCUAGUAGGUGGGGUAACGGCUCACCUAGGCGACGAUCCCUAGCUGGUCUGAGAGGAUGACCAGCCACACUGGAACUGAGACACGGUCCAGACUCCUACGGGAGGCAGCAGUGGGGAAUAUUGCACAAUGGGCGCAAGCCUGAUGCAGCCAUGCCGCGUGUAUGAAGAAGGCCUUCGGGUUGUAAAGUACUUUCAGCGGGGAGGAAGGCGAUGAGGUUAAUAACCUUGUCGAUUGACGUUACCCGCAGAAGAAGCACCGGCUAACUCCGUGCCAGCAGCCGCGGUAAUACGGAGGGUGCAAGCGUUAAUCGGAAUUACUGGGCGUAAAGCGCACGCAGGCGGUCUGUCAAGUCGGAUGUGAAAUCCCCGGGCUCAACCUGGGAACUGCAU
RNAcentral lists this ribosomal RNA (463 nucleotides) under Enterobacterales bacterium. RNAcentral describes it as "bacterial SSU rRNA". It matches the Rfam family "Bacterial small subunit ribosomal RNA", at positions 168 to 626 of the family's 1533-position model. Lineage: Bacteria; Pseudomonadati; Pseudomonadota; Gammaproteobacteria; Enterobacterales. The record is from RNAcentral.